UAAAUAAUCCUACCCUUUGAUGAAUUUGUUGUUUGAAUAAUUUUUUUUUUUAAAAAAAUUAUUGGAGUCUUUCCCUUUAGAGUUUGCUUUUGAGUUUGUAAAAGAAUUCGAAUAACAUCUAAAGGGGAUGGUUCAAUAAUUUUUUUUGAAAAAAAAGACAUUUUUUAAAAUUAAACUUUUGUAUUCAUUUGUCUAAAAAAUUAUUUUUAUAAUAUAAAAACAACUUUUGACAAUGGAUCUCUUGGUUCUCGCAACGAUGAAGAACGCUAGCAAAAUGCGAUAAGUAGUGUGAAUGGCAGAAUACGUGAAUCAUCGAAUCUUUGAACGCAUAUUGCACUUUUUUAGUUUACUAAAAAAGUAUGUCUGUUUGAGUAUCAGUAAAAUAUUCUCAUAAAAAUCAUUGUAUUUUUAUGGUUAUGAGUGUUUUUACAACGAUACAAGUUGUUUCACUUUAAAUUUUUUUUUAAUAUUGAAAUUUUCUAAUUUUAAUAAUUAAAAUUGGAUAAAAUUUUCCCGUCAAAAGGAAUAACCUAAACAAUUUUAAAUCGAUUAAUUUAGCCAAAAAUUUUCGAAAAAAGGAAAAUUCUUUAUUAAAAUAACUUGAUCUCAAAUCAGAUAAGAGUACCCGCUGAACUUAAGCAUAUCAUAAGCGAGGAAAAGAAACUAACAAGGAUUCCCUUAGUAACGGCGAUGUGAAGCGGGAAGAGCUCAAAUUUGAAAUCUUUUCAAGGUUUACCUUGACGAAUGUAGUUUAAAGAAGUGUUUUCUGCUGAAGUUUUGGUAAAAGUUCUUGGAAUAGGACAUCAUAGAGGGUAGGAAUCCCGUAUUUGACCAUUAUUUCAGCUUUGUGAUACCACUUUUCAAAGAGUCGGAUUGUUUGGGAAUGCCAGUCCAAAAUGGGUGGUAAAUUUGUCUAAAAGCUAAAUAUUGGCGAGAGACCGAUGCGAACAAGUACCGUGAGGGAAAGAUGAAAAGAACUUUGAAAAGAGAGUAGAAACAGUACGUGAAAUUGUCAAAAGGGAAGCGUUUGACACCAGUGUUGUUUUCUCGAAAAUCAAUUAAAAAUGGCUCGAUUCUGUAUUGCUUGAGACCUUAAAAGCUCACUGUUACAUUUUUCGUGUCUUUUUUAAUGCACUUUUCGUUUAACAAGUCAACAUCAGUUUCUUUUGUUGUAAAGGGUCAUUGGAAGGUGGCUCUCUUUUCGGAGAAAGUGUUUAUAGCCUUUGGCCUCUGCAUCGGAAGAGACUGAGGUCUGCAGCGUAGACUCUUCGGGUUAGAUACAUUUGUGCUAGUUAUAGCUUUUUAUGGACAACUUGUUGACUUAAUUAGUCUUGUAGCUUACUCGCUUAUGCUAUUUUACCUACGCUUAGGAUG
RNAcentral lists this unclassified non-coding RNA (1374 nucleotides) under uncultured Neocallimastigales. Its description in RNAcentral is "partial contains internal transcribed spacer 1, 5.8S ribosomal RNA, internal transcribed spacer 2, and large subunit ribosomal RNA". The stretch from base 602 to 1374 matches the Rfam family "Eukaryotic large subunit ribosomal RNA", at positions 1 to 626 of the family's 3401-position model. Lineage: Eukaryota; Fungi; Neocallimastigomycota; Neocallimastigomycetes; Neocallimastigales. The record is from RNAcentral.